Molecule: ribosomal RNA, 61 nt
Filed under: Chiromantis xerampelina (African gray treefrog)
Lineage: Eukaryota; Metazoa; Chordata; Amphibia; Anura; Rhacophoridae
Description: partial 16S ribosomal RNA
Source: RNAcentral
CAAACCCUAACAAAUGUNUUUAAACAAAACAUUUUAACUUUUUAGUAGAGGUGAUCGAAAA